AAAAGGAGAAACAGUUAUCCCUCACCGUAGGUCAAUUACGGGCCAAGCACUCUGCCAGGUGCUGCUUUGCAGGAGCCUUUCAUUUUCUUUGUCUACUGAACCCUGAAAAUGAUGGAGCCGGUCAUUUCCACACCUGUGGAAUUUUGUGGGUCACUUGCUAGUGAACCUUGCAAGGAUUUGGCAGACUGACUGAAUGCUUGUCCGAAGUCAUACUCAGCACCUUUCUCCGGAAACUGUAAGAAAAACAGAAACGAAGGAAUUCAUCUCAGGAAUCUCAUUACGAACAUGAUGGCAACAUAUCUGUGUUGUUCUGCUGCCUCAGCAGGUAGGACCUGGCCAACAACGCACCUCUGCAACCAAUCCUGAGCUCAUCUUUGUGGCCUUAUGAUUUUAAUCUCUCAUUUUAAUGAACAAUCUGCCUGUUAUUUAAUGAAAACUAGAAUCCCACUUCCUUGGGGUCUCAAAAACAUCAGUGUCUCUCUUAUUAUCGCUUUCCUGU
Molecule: long non-coding RNA, 499 nt
Organism: Pteronotus mesoamericanus
Lineage: Eukaryota; Metazoa; Chordata; Mammalia; Chiroptera; Mormoopidae
Exons: 3
Source: RefSeq, a predicted model, not a curated record